RNAcentral lists this ribosomal RNA (468 nucleotides) under uncultured bacterium. RNAcentral describes it as "partial 16S ribosomal RNA". It matches the Rfam family "Bacterial small subunit ribosomal RNA", at positions 28 to 507 of the family's 1533-position model. The record is from RNAcentral.
GACGAACGCUGGCGGCGUGCUUAACACAUGCAAGUCGAACGGAAAGGCCCUGCUUUUGUGGGGUGCUCGAGUGGCGAACGGGUGAGUAACACGUGAGUAACCUGCCCUUGACUUUGGGAUAACUUCAGGAAACUGGGGCUAAUACCGGAUAGGAGCUCCUGCUGCAUGGUGGGGGUGGGAAAGUUUCGGCGGUUGGGGAUGGACUCGCGGCUGAUCAGCUUGUUGGUGGGGUAGUGGCUUACCAAGGCUUUGACGGGUAGCCGGCCUGAGGGGGUGACCGGCCACAUUGGGACUGAGAUACGGCCCAGACUCCUACGGGAGGCAGCAGUGGGGAAUAUUGCACAAUGGGCGGAAGCCUGAUGCAGCAACGCCGCGUGCGGGAUGACGGCCUUCGGGUUGUAAACCGCUUUCGCCUGUGACGAAGCGUGAGUGACGGUAAUGGGUAAAGAAGCACCGGCUAACUACGUG